Long non-coding RNA from Eucalyptus grandis, 553 nucleotides. RefSeq lists it as uncharacterized. NCBI's taxonomy places the organism in Eukaryota, Viridiplantae, Streptophyta, Magnoliopsida, Myrtales, Myrtaceae. The transcript is spliced from 2 exons. The record is from RefSeq and is a predicted model, not a curated record.
UCCGUUGCUCAUCAUCGCCACUCUCGUAGUGUGAUUGCAUUGUGAUCUUGCCUGGUCCGAGAGCAAUGAUGAAAAAGAACACUGUCGAGAGAGAGUGGGUGGCGAUAGCAGUGGUGGCAUAUCUACUCAUCAUGGUGGAUCUAUUGCCUUCACCUACGAGUGCCUCUUUGCUUCCUGCUCAACAUGUUCCCGAUGCCCCAGGUGUAAGCAAAGAAGGCAAGACGGGAUCCCCAAGAAAAGCAUUAGGUGGUUGGUUCAAACUCAAGGGGGCAAUUGGUCUUGAUUCCUACGUUGAUUUCGGGAAGAAGAAGAGGAGGAAAGCGAUGGGGUCGCGUAGCCUAAGGGCGAGUCUCGACAUGUCUCCACCCUCACCUAAUCGUAAUUUUCCCCGCUCCCAUUUUCCUGUACCGGCUGUACCCUAGUCACUACUCCCAUCAUCCUGUACCCUUUUGAAAGGAGUUACGUACGAACAUUUGGCAUAUACUAAAUGUGUAAGAGUUGGGUUGUAGGUCAAUCCUACUCUAAAUAAUAUUGGUGUAAGGAUUUUGUGAGA